UCCAUUAGACCAGUUAUCAUUGGGGACGUAUCUCGUGACUCAGACUCAUUGUGUUUCAUUUUCCCGUUUGAGAUUGUUAUUUUUCUUUUUUGUUAUUUUCCUUUUCUUUUUUUCCGAUAUGUAUAACGAAUGUUAACACCUGUUACAUCUAUCACUAGGACAUGUGUUUGUAUUAUGAUUGGCAGGUUUCCAAAAUGAUUCUUCUAUUACAUCUCGCCACCUG
RNAcentral lists this long non-coding RNA (223 nucleotides) under Linum usitatissimum (flax). RNAcentral's name for it is "long non-coding RNA (LUSI_LNC005462)". The record is from RNAcentral. Lineage: Eukaryota; Viridiplantae; Streptophyta; Magnoliopsida; Malpighiales; Linaceae.